CAGGAGAUUGGAUUUGUUUGCAGUGUUCCUAAAGCUUAUUUGCUACGUUGCUUGAAAGAAAUCUUUUCAAAACACAGUUAAAUAAACUCCACAAAAAUUCAAGAACAAACUUGCAAAAGAGUUCUCAAGACAACUCUGUCGAUUAAGUUUUGUUUUACGUCAAUGAUGAGAUGCUAACGGGACAUCUUAAUACAAAAUUAAACAUGUAAAUACUAAAUUAUUCUGGUGUGUAAACAGCAGCCUUAGGCUAUGAAAUUUUUAAGAGUGAAAAGAAGAAGAGAACAAGAACAAGAAGAAAAUGAAGAAGAAAAAAGAAGAAAAAGAAGAAAAAGAAAAGAAGAAGAAGAAGAAGAAAAAUAAACAAAAUUGUAAUUGUAACUAUAAUAAUUCAUAAAAUAUUUUUUAUGGUCGCCAUGGUUA
This is a long non-coding RNA of Hydractinia symbiolongicarpus, 420 nucleotides long. RefSeq lists it as uncharacterized. The record is from RefSeq and is a predicted model, not a curated record. The transcript is spliced from 2 exons. NCBI's taxonomy places the organism in Eukaryota, Metazoa, Cnidaria, Hydrozoa, Anthoathecata, Hydractiniidae.